UCCGGCAUAACUCCGGGAAACUGGAAAUAAUUCCGGAUAACGCACAUAUGCUGGAAUGCUUUAUGCGUAAAAUGGAUUCGUCUGCCCAAGGAUGGGUCUGCGGCCUAUCAGGUAGUAGUGGGUGUAAUGUACCUACUAGCCUACGACGGGUACGGGUUGUGAGAGCAAGAGCCCGGAGAUGGAUUCUGAGACAUGAAUCCAGGCCCUACGGGGCGCAGCAGGCGCGAAAACUUUACAAUGCGGGAAACCGUGAUAAGGGGACACCGAGUGCCAGCAUCAUGUGCUGGCUGUCCAGGUGUGUAAAAUACACCUGUUAGCAAGGGCCGGGCAAGACCGGUGCCAGCCGCCGCGGUAACACCGGCGGCCCGAGUGGUGAUCGUGAUUAUUGGGUCUAAAGGGUCCGUAGCCGGUUUGGUCAGUCCUCCGGGAAAUCUGAUAGCUCAACUAUUAGCUUUCGGANGAUACUGCCAGACUUGGAGCCGGGAGAGGUAAGAGGUACUACAGGGGUAGGAGUGAAAUCUUGUAAUCCCUGUGGGACCACCUGUGGCGAAGGCGUCUUACCAGAACGGGUUCGACGGUGAGGGACGAAAGCUGGGGGCACGAACCGGAUUAGAUACCCGGGUAGUCCCAGCCGUAAACGAUGCUCGCUAGGUGUCAGGCAUGGCGCGACCGUGUCUGGUGCCGCAGGGAAGCCGUGAAGCGAGCCACCUGGGAAGUACGGCCGCAAGGCUGAAA
RNAcentral lists this ribosomal RNA (735 nucleotides) under uncultured archaeon S15-13. RNAcentral's name for it is "bacterial SSU rRNA". It matches the Rfam family "Archaeal small subunit ribosomal RNA", at positions 120 to 854 of the family's 1478-position model. The record is from RNAcentral.